GGUAGCGUGGCUGAGCGGUCUAAGGUACUGGGUUAAGGCUCCAGUCUCUUUGGGGGCGUGGGUUCAAAUCGCAUUGUUGCCA
Molecule: non-coding RNA, 82 nt
Organism: Bos taurus (domestic cattle)
Lineage: Eukaryota; Metazoa; Chordata; Mammalia; Artiodactyla; Bovidae
Source: Rfam